RNAcentral lists this ribosomal RNA (448 nucleotides) under unidentified nematode Sourhope farm. RNAcentral's name for it is "SSU rRNA". It matches the Rfam family "Eukaryotic small subunit ribosomal RNA", at positions 79 to 529 of the family's 1831-position model. Lineage: Eukaryota; Metazoa; Nematoda. The record is from RNAcentral.
UGGUAAAGCCGCGAAUGGCUCAUUACAACAGCCACAGUUUAUUGGGUCUCCAUUUACUUGGAUAACUGAGCUAAUUGUUGAGCUAAUACACGCACCAAAGCUUCGACCUCACGGGAGGAGCGCAUUUAUUAGAACAAAACCAAUCGGACUUCGGUCCGUCCAUUGGUGAAUCUAAAUAACUUAGCCGAUCGCAUGGUCUCGCACCGGCGACUCACCUUUCAAAUGUCUGCCUUAUCACCUUUCGAUGGUAGUUUAUACGCCUACCAUGGGUUUUACGGGUAACGGAGAAUAAGGGUUCGACUCCGGAGAGGGAGCCUGAGAAACGGCUACCACAUCCAAGGAAGGCAGCAGGCACGCAAAUUACCCACUCCCGGCACGGGGAGGUAGUGACGAAAAAUAACGAGGCGGUUCUCUAUGAGGCCCGCCAUCGGAAUGGGUACAAUCUAAA